Molecule: ribosomal RNA, 493 nt
Filed under: uncultured Bacteroidota bacterium
Lineage: Bacteria; Pseudomonadati; Bacteroidota
Description: bacterial SSU rRNA
Rfam family: Bacterial small subunit ribosomal RNA
Source: RNAcentral
UUGCUUGCAAUCCGCUGACGACCGGCGCACGGGUGAGUAACGCGUAUGCAACCUACCUUUUACAGGGGUAUAGUCAAGAGAAAUUUUGAAUAACACCCCAUACGAUCAUCAUUACACAUGUAAAGAUGAAGAAAACUCCGGUGGUAAAAGAUGGGCAUGCGUCCUAUUAGUUAGUUGGUGAGGUAACGGCUCACCAAGACCGCGAUAGGUAGGGGUCCUGAGAGGGAGAUCCCCCACACUGGGACUGAGAUACGGCCCAGACUCCUACGGGAGGCAGCAGUGGGGAAUCUUGCACAAUGGGCGAAAGCCUGAUGCAGCGAUGCCGCGUGAGUGAAGAAGGCCUUUGGGUUGUAAAGCUCUUUUGUCGGGAAAGAUAAUGACUGUACCCGAAGAAUAAGGUCCGGCUAACUUCGUGCCAGCAGCCGCGGUAAUACGAAGGGACCUAGCGUAGUUCGGAAUUACUGGGCGUAAAGAGUAUGUAGGCGGCUAGAUA